This 468-nucleotide ribosomal RNA is filed under the name uncultured bacterium. RNAcentral's name for it is "partial 16S ribosomal RNA". It matches the Rfam family "Bacterial small subunit ribosomal RNA", at positions 28 to 507 of the family's 1533-position model. The record is from RNAcentral.
GAUGAACGCUGGCGGCGUGCCUAACACAUGCAAGUCGAACGGAAAGGCCCUGCUUUUGUGGGGUGCUCGAGUGGCGAACGGGUGAGUAACACGUGAGUAACCUGCCCCUGACUGUGGGAUAACUUCAGGAAACUGGGGCUAAUACCGGAUAGGAGCUCCUGCUGCAUGGUGGGGGUUGGAAAGUGUCGGCGGUUCGGGAUGGACUCGCGGCUUAUCAGCUUGUUGGUGGGGUAGUGGCGUACCAAGGCUUUGACGGGUAGCCGGCCUGGGAGGGGGGCCGGGGACAUGGGGACUGAGGGACGGCCCAGUCGCCAACGGGAGGCAGCAGGGGGGAGUAUUACACAGUGGGGGGGAGCCUGAUGCAGCAACGCCGCGUGCGGAAUGACCGCUUUCGGGUGGUAAACCGAUUUCGCCUGAGACGUAGCGUGAGUGACGGUAAUGGGUAAAGAAGCACCGGCUAACUACGUG